Molecule: small nuclear RNA, 106 nt
Organism: Ochotona curzoniae (black-lipped pika)
Lineage: Eukaryota; Metazoa; Chordata; Mammalia; Lagomorpha; Ochotonidae
Source: RefSeq, a predicted model, not a curated record
GCUGGUUUCAACCUUUACAUAAACUAAAAUUGUAAUGCUAUGGAGAAGAUUAACAUGGCUGCUGCACAAGGAUGACAAGCAUGUUUGAAAAAUAAACAAAUAUGGG